AGAGUUUGAUCAUGGCUCAGGAUGAACGCUAGCGGCAGGCUUAACACAUGCAAGUCGAGGGGUAACAGGGAUUGCUUGCAAUCCGCUGACGACCGGCGCACGGGUGCGUAACGCGUAUGCAACCUACCUUUUACAGGGGAAUAGCCCAUAGAAAUGUGGAUUAAUACCCCAUAAUAUAUAGACAAGGCAUCUUGAUUAUAUUAAAACUCCGGUGGUAAAAGAUGGGCAUGCGUGACAUUAGCUAGUUGGUAAGGUAACGGCUUACCAAGGCAACGAUGUCUAGGGGGUCUGAGAGGAUGAUCCCCCACACUGGUACUGAGACACGGACCAGACUCCUACGGGAGGCAGCAGUGAGGAAUAUUGGGCAAUGGAGGCAACUCUGACCCAGCCAUGCCGCGUGAAGGAAGACUGCCUUAUGGGUUGUAAACUUCUUUUAUAGAGGAAGAAAUAUUUCUACGUGUAGAAAUUUGACGGUAUUCUAUGAAUAAGCACCGGCUAACUCCGUGCCAGCAGCCGCGGUAAUACGGAGGGUGCAAGCGUUAUCCGGAUUCAUUGGGUUUAAAGGGUGCGUAGGCGGAUAAAUAAGUCAGUGGUGAAAGCCCACAGCUCAACUGUGGAACUGCCAUUGAUACUGUUUAUCUUGAAUAUAUUUGAAGUAGGCGGAAUAUGUAGUGUAGCGGUGAAAUGCAUAGAUAUUACAUAGAACACCAAUUGCGAAGGCAGCUUACUAAGAUAUUAUUGACGCUGAGGCACGAAAGCGUGGGUAGCGAACAGGAUUAGAUACCCUGGUAGUCCACGCCGUAAACUAUGUUCACUCGGUGCUUGUCCAAAAGGAUGAGUGCCCAAGCGAAAGUAUUAAGUGAACCACCUGGGGAGUACGCUCGCAAGAGUGAAACUCAAAGGAAUUGACGGG
This 913-nucleotide ribosomal RNA is filed under the name uncultured bacterium. RNAcentral's name for it is "bacterial SSU rRNA". It matches the Rfam family "Bacterial small subunit ribosomal RNA", at positions 8 to 917 of the family's 1533-position model. The record is from RNAcentral.